This 598-nucleotide ribosomal RNA is filed under the name uncultured bacterium. RNAcentral's name for it is "bacterial SSU rRNA". It matches the Rfam family "Bacterial small subunit ribosomal RNA", at positions 163 to 774 of the family's 1533-position model. The record is from RNAcentral.
CUAAUACUGCAUGUGGUUGUCGGAUGGCAUCAUCUGACAACUAAAGUCGCAAGACGCUCUCAGAUGGGCCCGCGGACUAUUAGCUAGUUGAUGAGGUAACGGCCCACCAAGGCAAUGAUGGGUACCUGGUCUGAGAGGACGGACAGCCACACUGGGACUGAGACACGGCCCAGACUCCUACGGGAGGCAGCAGUUGAGGAAUUUUCCGCAAUGGGCGAAAGCCUGACGGAGCAACGCCGCGUGAGGGAUGAAGUCUCUAGGGAUGUAAACCUCUGUUGGGAGGGACGAAGAUCUGACGGUACCUCCUGAGGAAGCCCCGGCUAACUACGUGCCAGCAGCCGCGGUAAUACGUAGGGGGCGAGCGUUAUCCGGAUUUACUGGGUGUAAAGAGCGCGUAGGCGGUUCCGUAAGUUGGUUGUGAAAGUUCGAUGCUUAACCUCGAAACUGCGUCCAAUACUGCGGGGCUGGAGUGCAAGAGAGGCAAGUGGAAUUCCGCAUGUAGUAGUGAAAUGCGUAGAUAUGCGGAGGAACACCAGUGGCGAAGGCGGCUUGCUAGCUUGUAACUGACGCUGAGGCGCGAAAGCUAGGGGAGCGAACG